RNAcentral lists this ribosomal RNA (491 nucleotides) under uncultured bacterium. RNAcentral describes it as "bacterial SSU rRNA". It matches the Rfam family "Bacterial small subunit ribosomal RNA", at positions 28 to 507 of the family's 1533-position model. The record is from RNAcentral.
GAUGAACGCUAGCUACAGGCUUAACACAUGCAAGUCGAGGGGAAACGACAUCGAAAGCUUGCUUUUGAUGGGCGUCGACCGGCGCACGGGUGAGUAACGCGUAUCCAACCUGCCCACCACUUGGGAUAACCUUGCGAAAGUAAGACUAAUACCCAAUGACGUCUCUAGAAGACAUCUGAAAGGGAUUAAAGAUUUAUCGGUGAUGGAUGGGGAUGCGUCUGAUUAGCUUGUUGGCGGGGUAACGGCCCACCAAGGCGACGAUCAGUAGGGGUUCUGAGAGGAAGGUCCCCCACAUUGGAACUGAGACACGGUCCAAACUCCUACGGGAGGCAGCAGUGAGGAAUAUUGGUCAAUGGGCGAGAGCCUGAACCAGCCAAGUAGCGUGCAGGAAGACGGCCCUAUGGGUUGUAAACUGCUUUUAUAAGGGAAUAAAGUGAGCCUCGUGAGGCUUUUUGCAUGUACCUUAUGAAUAAGGACCGGCUAAUUCCGUG